This is a long non-coding RNA of Ipomoea nil (Japanese morning glory), 214 nucleotides long. RefSeq lists it as uncharacterized. The record is from RefSeq and is a predicted model, not a curated record. The transcript is spliced from 3 exons. NCBI's taxonomy places the organism in Eukaryota, Viridiplantae, Streptophyta, Magnoliopsida, Solanales, Convolvulaceae.
GCCAGACCCAUUUGAUAUGGCUAUUGAUUUUGCAAUUGUUGCUGCAUUUUUGUUGGAAGCUCUCCCAUCUCUCAGAAAAUCAAGCAUGGGAAGUAAAGGAAUUUUCUCAGUGGUUGAUGAUGAAAUGAGUAUUGGAGAUGAAGAAAGUGAUGAGGUUCUAAAUAUGGACUUGGAACAACAAAUAUCCAAAGCAAUUGAUCCAAAUUUUCUUCUA